UGGGGAAUAUUGGGCAAUGGGCGAAAGCCUGACCCAGCAACGCCGCGUGAAGUAUGAAGGCCUUCGGGUUGUAAACUUCUUUGAUCAGGGAAGAAACAAAUGACGGUACCUGAAAAACAAGCCACGGCUAACUACGUGCCAGCAGCCGCGGUAAUACGUAGGUGGCGAGUGUUAUCCGGAUUUACUGGGUGUAAAGGGCGUGCAGGCGGGCUGAUAAGUCAGAUGUGAAAUCCCCGAGCUUAACUCGGGAACUGCAUCUGAUACUGUUGGUCUUGAGUGCUGGAGAGGAUAGUGGAAUUCCUAGUGUAGCGGUAAAAUGCGCAGAUAUUAGGAGGAACACCAGUGGCGAAGGCGGCUAUCUGGACAGUAACUGACGCUGAGGCGCGAAAGCGUGGGUAGCAAACAGG
RNAcentral lists this ribosomal RNA (407 nucleotides) under Verrucomicrobiota bacterium. RNAcentral's name for it is "Verrucomicrobia bacterium partial 16S ribosomal RNA". It matches the Rfam family "Bacterial small subunit ribosomal RNA", at positions 355 to 776 of the family's 1533-position model. The record is from RNAcentral. Lineage: Bacteria; Pseudomonadati; Verrucomicrobiota.